RNAcentral lists this ribosomal RNA (289 nucleotides) under Gambierdiscus sp. Its description in RNAcentral is "partial 18S ribosomal RNA". It matches the Rfam family "Eukaryotic small subunit ribosomal RNA", at positions 1489 to 1785 of the family's 1831-position model. Lineage: Eukaryota; Dinophyceae; Gonyaulacales; Pyrocystaceae. The record is from RNAcentral.
GCACACGUGCUACACUGAUGCACCCAGAGAGUGUCCCAUCUUCCCUGGAGAGGUUGGUCAAUCUGCCAACCUGUGUCGUGAUGGGGAUGGAUCAUUGCAACUAUUGCUCCUGAAUUCCUAGCAAAAGCAGGUCAUCAACUUGCAUUGAUUGUGUUCCUGCCCUUUGUACACACAGCCCGUCGCUCCUAGCGAUUGAGUGGUCCGGUGAAAAGUUUGGACCUGCUGUAGCAUCCAGUCGUGGAGCAGCACAGCCAGAAAUUCAGUGAACCUUAUCACUUAGAGGAAGGAG